GAUUCUGGCUCAGAGGGAGAGCGUUUGCCUCACAUUCAUAAGGCACUGGGUUCGAUCCUCAGCAUCA
This 67-nucleotide transfer RNA is filed under the name Marmota monax (woodchuck). Its description in RNAcentral is "tRNA.Val". Lineage: Eukaryota; Metazoa; Chordata; Mammalia; Rodentia; Sciuridae. The record is from RNAcentral.